CCGGGCGCAUCGGGCCGCUUUGGAAAGCGGGAAAGCAUCGCUAAGGCGGAAUCCGGCCCCGAAGCCGCCUUUGGCCCUACUUCCCACAGAGCCAGCUAUGACCCCUACAUGACCCCCAUCGGAAUCUGACAACAGUCAACAAGAUAUUAAAGGACAUAUUCUUGCACAGGAACAGGAAGCUCAAAUACAAAGCCUAAAGAAGGUAUAAAAACCCCACUCUCUUAACUCCAUUUUUGUCAGCUUCACAGAACUAUAAACACAGGUGGUUCUGUUCAUCAUUAAAUCAUCUUUCCAAUAUG
Molecule: long non-coding RNA, 299 nt
Organism: Thamnophis elegans (Western terrestrial garter snake)
Lineage: Eukaryota; Metazoa; Chordata; Lepidosauria; Squamata; Natricidae
Exons: 2
Source: RefSeq, a predicted model, not a curated record